AUGUCAUCCCUGAGGAUUGAGAACCUGGCCCCUGAGGACAGCGGGCAGUAUUUUGCCAACAUCACCUCUACUAAGGGAGAGGGGAUUUUCCAGGUUUUCUACCUCACUGUCUAUGAGCCUGUGCCUCACCCUGAGUUCCUGGCAAAGUCACUGUCUAUCACACCAGACCUGUGUAACGUCACCCUGGAGUGUAGGGCUCCAGGGGCCACAGAAGACCUGAAUGUGACUUGGGAGAGCAAGGGCCUCCUCAGAGAGCUGGAGCAGAGAGAAACACCAGGACCAGCCCCCAACCCCUGGACACUGGCUGUGAACCUGCCCCUGUGCCAGUGCAACACCCACCUCACCUGUGUGGUCAGCAACCAGGUGGAUCAGAAAGCUGCAAUCUUAGACCUUAGGAAAGUCUGUGUCCAAGAAACAGGUUCACACAACAUGGUUAGACUGCUCCCAGGCAUCCUAGGGGCUGUUGUGGGUAUGCUGUUGGUCCUGGGAACUGGGCUGUAUCUUUUGAAGACAUGUGGGAAGAAGAAGAAGAUGAUGAAUAUAGGAAGAGGUAGAGAAUGGCAGGAGAACCAUGGGGUCGAUGAUGGUGUCAACCAAUAUGAAGAUCUCAGGCAGCAAGUGUUUCCGAAGGGCAAGGACAAGGGCAUCGGUGAACAAUAUCUGGAAAAAAGGGAGUCUCUCACUCCUAUCUACAGUGAGGUUCAUUAUCAUUGUCCAGGCCAGGCCAUUAAGAUCAUUCAAUUGGAGGAAGCAACAGGAUCUGGCACUCCCAGGACACCUGUACUCUGAGCCUGAAGCCUGCAGAUCCCCGCCUUUCCCAGUGCUGGUUCAGUUUCCGCUGCCCCUAGUCUGUGUUACUCUGAUCUCAUAGCCACAGUUCUACAGUGUACACAUGGCCUAUUCGCAUUCUGUGACACCUCCCAAAGAUGCAUUUACACUUGGGCAAAGAUUCUUCCCUUGUCAUUGACAUUGCUCCUGACCCCUCUCUUUCAGAAGCCUUCCCAAGGGGACCCUGUCUGAUUGCACAGGUGGCAAAUCCCCACCACCUCUGCCAUGUCACUUGUGUGUGUAAUUCUGAGGACACAAGCCCAGACAUGGGAACUGUGCAGAGGUGUUGACUGUGCUGCAGAGGAGGGACAUAGACCUGGCUUCUGGAUGCUCAGUUGGAGGAUAUCGUGGGUGGGUAGAAGCCCACAAAGGAACACGCUGAGGCUUCCUUUGCAGAUUUUGUGUAGGGCUCCCUUGCGGGUACCAGGCAGUGCGUGUGUGCAUGCAGGUUGGUGGUGGAGGGGGGUGUCUAGUGCACAUUAUACAACUGAACCAAAGCCACCUUUCUUUUCUUCUGUGCUAAUCUGAACUUAAUCUUCAGCCUCAGCCUGUGGAUCCAAACUCAACUUCCUGUAGAGUGGAAAGAGAAAUUUUUAUCAUCUCAAAACCUUCCUAGCCUCGGUGUCUCAGAGAAUGACCCUAAGAGGCCACAGUUGGAGGCUGUCUUAGGAACACAGCCUCAGCUCUUUCCUUGGCCUAGUAUAAGGCACUUGGCUGUAAGAACAGAAGUGUGAUAUCCUUCCACACCCACUUGAUGAGGGCUACUUGCGCUCUGAUGGGUGAAGCUGUUGAGAAGGUCUGACUCAGCCCUCUCCGACCUCUUCUUAUUCUGACCCUUAAUACCCCAGUAGCCAUGCUGGCCCCAAACCCUAGGUCAUCCACUUCUUUGCUCACUUGCAUCCCUCUGCCUGACAUGAAAGUUCCUUCUCCCUGUUCCUCACCCUCACUCCCGCCUGUUGAAAUACUACUGUGCUGCUCAAAGCUCUUCCCAAGAUGCUUGUUCCAUGGAGCUCUCUGGAUCUUAAAGGUUUAGACAUGAUCUCUCCCACAACUGACUUUUCUGAACACCUUGGACACUAUGUACGGUCCCUGCCACAGUUUGUCCUGGGAUGGUCAUGAGUCUUCCUGCAGGACUAACCUGGGCUCUCUCAGGAGGAUGUGGGGCUGUGGGGUAAUAGGGCUGAGGAGACAAGUACUUAUUGGUGCAAAUGGUCUGGGCCACCUUGUUCCCAACCCAUGGGGUCAGCAGAGGGAGAUGCAGCACAGGGGCUACUGACGAACUCUCUGGUGUGGCUCUACCUGGAAACAGGGAUGGACACAAUGACCUCCCUUGACUAUGCGUGGCCUGAGUUCCUAAUUGGAGACUUCCUUACUCCCUCAUCCACCUCUUAUUGCGAACCUGGCCAUUCUUCCAUCAUGGUAUGUGGGUGUUUCUUUCCUCCUGAGGGGUCCUCAGCUUCUUGCAGCCUCUGCUUCUUAUUUGAGUCCCAGCUUUUAUGCAGAGAUGAGCUAACUCUAGUACCAUGAGCUGCUGUGGCAUGUCUGGUGGCCUAGAUCCUUGGGCCUCUUAGUUUCCCUCAUGGCUCAGGUGAGCUCAUUUCCUCAUUGCCACCCACAGAAAACAAAGAUCUGAACAGAGCCCCUGCUAAGAGAUGGAGCACUAGAAAAUAGUGCUAGGUGCCUGCUGGAUGGUGGGUGGGUGAGGCAGGAGGGAGAGGAUCCAUAGCAGGGCUUCAUUUCUGCCGUCUUCCCCUUUAGGCUGAGCUGAAGGCCGAGGGUGUGCCAGUCUCUUCACUGGCUUCCCAGGUGACUGGACAUUACUGGGUAUCAGUGAACAUUAACCCUGGGGCAGCAUAAGAUGUGAUCACCCAACUAACUGACCUUCCCACUGCACCAAAGGCAACAAAAAUCCAAACCAAACAAACAAAAAAGAGGAACAAGGCUUUUGAGGCUGUUUUGAACCAGUUUUUGUCCCAGGCACUUUGCACAUAUUAUUCUUUUUAAUUCUUCUUUAAAUACAUUUUUAAUUUUAAGAUACUAAAUGUUUUACUCUUCUUGUUUAUGAUUUCUUCCAAUGAUAUCAAACUUAAAAUUCCUCUGCAUUCAAAGGACCCAAU
This 2945-nucleotide long non-coding RNA is filed under the name Pan troglodytes (chimpanzee). Its description in RNAcentral is "lncRNA (ENSPTRG00000054143.1)". Lineage: Eukaryota; Metazoa; Chordata; Mammalia; Primates; Hominidae. The record is from RNAcentral.